Molecule: non-coding RNA, 267 nt
Organism: Pelobates cultripes (western spadefoot toad)
Lineage: Eukaryota; Metazoa; Chordata; Amphibia; Anura; Pelobatidae
Source: the annotation of a GenBank genome assembly
CUGAGGCCUGCACAAGCGAGACAAGAUGGCUGGUGUGCCCAUAGACCGGACACUUAUUCAGUCCGUGCAGGACUGUCAAAGCAUGCUGGGGAGACCUUAGCAGGGCUAGAGGAAAUAUUAUCUCGAUUCUGGGACACCCUGGAAAAGCGUGCCGAGCUAUCUACUCCACAAAUUGACACUCAGAAGAACGACAACCGGAAGGUGAGCGAAGCCCCUUCGGGCAGAACAACCAUACAGCCACCCAUGUCCACCAGUGCUCGUCCACAU